GAUGAACGCUGACAGAAUGCUUAACACAUGCAAGUCUACUUGAUUCUACUUCGGUAGUUGAUGGUGGCGGACGGGUGAGUAACGCGUAAAGAAUCUGCCCUUUAGUUUGGGAUAACCUUUGGAAACGAAGGCUAAUACCGGAUAUUAUGGAGACGUCGCAUGACGACUCCAUGAAAGCUAUAUGCGCUAGAGGAGGACUUUGCGUCCCAUUAGUUAGUUGGUGGGGUAAUGGCUCAACAAGACCGCGAUGGGUAGCCGGCCUGAGAGGGUGAUCGGCCACAAGGGAACUGAGACACGGUCCUUACUCCUACGGGAGGCAGCAGUGGGGAAUAUUGGACAAUGGGCGCAAGCCUGAUCCAGCCAUGCCGCGUGAGUGAUGAAGGCCUUAGGGUUGUAAAGCUCUUUUAUCCGGGAAGAUAAUGACUGUACCGGAAGAAUAAGCCCCGGCUAACUUCGUGCCAGCCGCCGCGGUAA
RNAcentral lists this ribosomal RNA (474 nucleotides) under uncultured bacterium. RNAcentral describes it as "partial 16S ribosomal RNA". It matches the Rfam family "Bacterial small subunit ribosomal RNA", at positions 28 to 523 of the family's 1533-position model. The record is from RNAcentral.